UACGGAGGGUGCAAGCGUGUCCGGAUUUAUUGGGUUUAAAGGGUGCGUAGGCGGCCCUGUAAGUCAGUGGUGAAAAUACUGCAGCUUAACUGUAGCAUUGCCAUUGAUACUGCAGGGCUUGAGUACAGAUGAGGUAGGCGGAAUUGAUGGUGUAGCGGUGAAAUGCAUAGAUACCAUAAGAACACCGAUUGCGAAGGCAGCUUACUAAGCUGUAACUGACGCUGGAGGCACGAAAGCGUGGGGAUCGAACAGG
This 253-nucleotide ribosomal RNA is filed under the name uncultured bacterium. RNAcentral describes it as "partial 16S ribosomal RNA". It matches the Rfam family "Bacterial small subunit ribosomal RNA", at positions 524 to 776 of the family's 1533-position model. The record is from RNAcentral.